Cyprinus carpio carpio is the source of this 6609-nucleotide long non-coding RNA. The record is from Ensembl. Lineage: Eukaryota; Metazoa; Chordata; Actinopteri; Cypriniformes; Cyprinidae.
UCUUUUUUUAUUAUAUCGGUAUGUAUCUAAGAAUCGAUAUUUUGAGCACACCCCUAGUAACCACAUGCUUCUUAAACAGUCUGGGUUUCAGAAGCAGGCUUAAUUUAUCAUUUAUUUUCUAUAUAAUCAUUUCAGAAUUUUUGUCAGUAAACAGUUCUAACCCUUGAACCAAAUUAGCACCACAACAUUUGAUUUUAAGAUUCAAAACUGUUUCAAAGGAAAAUAAAAAGGAAUGAGCAAAUUACUUCAAAUACAUCUGUUUUUAGCUGUUUUAAAUGUUAUGAAAUCCAACAAGAAACCACUAAUAUGUAUUUUAUUUAGGUAGCUAGCUAUAAGCUUAUUUUACCAAGGAUAUGCAGACAAAAAAAUGCAGUAAAAUCAUUAAUAUUGUAAAAUACUUUUGCAAUUUAAAACAGCUUGAUUCAAUUGUAAUAUAUUUUCAUAUGUAAUUUAUUCCUGCCAUGCAAAGCUGAAUUUUCAUUAGUCAUUACUCCAGUCUUCAGUGUCAUAUGAUCGUUUAGAAAUCAUUCUAAUAUGCUGAUUGCUGUUCAAUGUUUAUUGUCAUAAAUGUUGAAAACAGUUGUUUUUGACAAAAUUUGCUUUCUAAUUAAAAUUUAAAUAAUUUAUUUGAUUUACAAUUAAUUUUAAUUGUGCAUGCUUAUAUUCCAAUUUGAAUUGCAAAUUGAAGUGCAGUUUAGUGAAUUGCAAUGAAAUAUGAACAAAGGAGAUUUGGGGUGUUCGGUGGUCCUCACUUUUUCCUUUUUUCUUUUUUUUUAAUGGUCCGCCAACUGAAAUAAGCACCACUGCACUAUACAAAAUAAGCAAUGAGUUUCAGUACAGGCUCCAUUUCACCCAUUCAUGCAGCUUUAAUUACUGAACAUUAUCGGUUCUAAUACUGCUGCUGUACUGCAUAAAAAUGCAUGAGACGUUUCCAGCACAGGCAGAAAUAUGAUCAUUCUGCUCACGUUACCUUUCAGCUAUUACCAAUUAUUUCUGCUGAAUAAACACUGUGUCAAGGGAGGAGCCACAAGGUGCAUUUUCCUACAAAUUAGUCAGGAAAGGACCUGUCCCCCUUCACACGAGCGACAGCGUAAUCGAUAUUCCUCACUUAUUUUAAUGUCUAAAGUACAGCUACAAAGACAAAGAGGCGAUUUGGUGAUCAGCAUUAACUGCUCAGAGCUGCAGUUCUGUAAGUUUUAGAUGUCAAGCGAAAUGCCAAUGCAAGAAGCGCACCAGCUGUGGAAGAUUGUGCAGAUUAGAAGAUUUUAAUGAAGAUUUUCACCCCAGACAGGGCCGUUUCCUGCCAAAACUAGGUUGUUGCCUGUUAAGGAGACACAAGGGAAACAGUCCACCUAUAUGGCAUUAACAAAGCCAGAAACAGCCUUGAACCUGGGAAUUCAGGUCUGGUCUUUAGUGUGUUGAAGCUCUGUGAGAAGGUGUAGAUUGUUGACUGACUGCGGUAAACCUAGAGAGGAAACAGAAAAAGAGAUCUGAGCAUCUUUUUGGAGAUCUAAGAAAAAACUUUCAAUUUUUCAAAAGCACAAUUCAUCACAAUGCAUUACUCACGCUGUUUGUGGCGGGAAAUGUUGUAUAAUGUAUUAUUAGUGAUGUGGAGUAUUUAUCUAACAGCCCUCUAUUGGUAUUAGAGAUAUUAUGCAGAAUAUAGAGCAUGGCCUUGUUUGGUAGUUACAAACGGCCUGUAAAACCCCAAACCCAAGUCAUCCCACACUGUUUGUACUACUUCAAACAGUGUUUUUACUCUCAGCAAUCAAUUUUCACCUGGUAGACAAUAAAAUGCCCCCCCCCCCAUAAAACAUCUAUCUAUCUAUUGCUUAGCAACCGCCUAGCAACACACUAACCACUCAGAACACAAAAGUUUGCAAUGACCUCCUUUUUCUUUUCUAGUUUCCUAUAAGAGUUUGUCCUCAUAAAUAUUUCAGCUCACACAUUUUUGAAAUUCGUGUGGCUUUGAUCAACAUUUUUUAAUAUCAUCAAAGCCAUAAAAUGAUUAUUAAAUUACAGCACACACCAGGCACACUACAGUGGCUCAAUCUCACCUACUUUCCCUCUCCACAAUUAUUCAUGUAGGUAGGUGUUAAUUUAGGUCUUAUGUAAAGUGUUGCAGUGAGACUCAGGAGGUUCGGUGUUAUUCCAAGGCAUUAACCCAAAGCUUCAGCAGUAUAAUAAGAAUUAGCAUUUCAUAUAACUUUUCACUGAGUAUUACAAUUACUGGUACAAGCCAUAUUCUGAAAUAUUAGCCAAAUUAUACUGCAUUAUUAAGAACAAGAAAGACUUGUAUUGUACGACAUUCAUAAUGCACAUUAUGAGAGUUAAAAAGAUGAUGACGGUUUCCUUCAUUCACAGAACGACCAUUUAAAAGUUCAAAGUUCUCAGCUCACAAUUUCGCCACCUAAUUUCAAAUCAGCAUGCUUACAAAUUGAUUAUUUUAACAUCAAGAGAAACUCUUCCUCAAAUAAAACCACGUUACUUAAUGAACAGAUUCUUAUUUGCCCGCUGGGUGUCUUCUGACACACUCAGAAAGAGUGCUCAUUAUUGACUCAUUAAUGAAAAUCUUAAUUAAGAACAUCAUUCACGGCAGUGCCAUUCAAAUGUGUGCUUGUCUGUUAUGAGAACGUCUAAAUCUUCGUUUAACUUCUAGUUAAAUGAAGGCAUUGCAUGAUGAACAUUUAUACAUCUCAAUGAAGUGGUAAUUGGCUGUUUGUGUCUCAGAAAAUGUACCCGCUGCAACUAAUCACAGACAAACAUAAGAAUCGCUCUGCGUCUAUUGUAUUUCUGUGCAUACUGUUAAAUAGAGAUGUUGCCAUUUUUGUGCAUUUUGGAUUUAUUUCUAUCGGUUUAAUCUAAUUUUAACCACUCCUGGUCAUUUUCUCAGAGGACCUUAGAUGUAUCACAAUCAAAGACAUAUAAUUAUGACAGGAUACAUUUUAGUAAUACAGACAAUCUACAUAAUGCUCAAUAAUGUCAUUUUCAUAUGAUAAUUAUUAUGAUCAUUACUGUGAGUCUAUUUGUUACUUUGGCUAAUAUCAGCUAAAUCCGAAAAAAAAUAUUAAAAUCAAAAAAGUAAAUGUAAAAAUUACACCUGAAAUCAUUCUCUGAAGAAAAUGUGAGUUGACAACCCACUAGUAAUGACACACCUCUCCGCAACAAACUGCAAAAUUUGAGUUAUCAUUCUUUUUUGCAGCAGAAAUGGCGUGGGAUGAGUUAUGCAAUAAAGUUGAAUAGGCUUAAGGAUUUGAUUCAAACUUCUCCAGACAGAACAGGUGUUUUUAGUUUUUAUGUUAUGACUUAAGAAAUCACUAAUCACUAAUUAAACAGAGAGAGAUGGGAGGAAAGAAGACAUGCACAUAUGCUCACUUAUACACAUGUCUGGCAGCUCACCUUUGCCAUCUUCUGGUUAAUAAUAAAAAAAAGUGUUUGAGAUUGAGACUGUAACAUCCAAGACAAUUUUCAAUCAUCUGACCUGACAUUUUGCCAUAUAAACAGACUAUUUUUUUCAGUUCUAAAUUAAACAAGUUCUACAAUGACCCGGUGUGAUAUUUGUAAAGGCAGGGUUUUAUCAGUAAGUCUAUUUCACAGUUGACCUGUCUUCCCUGAAAAUCAAAAAGCUCUCUAUAGCCAAUAAAUUGGUGGUUUGAGCUUUUUGAGCUCCAGAUAAAAUGUUGAAAACUAUAAUUUUCCAAGAGCUGUAUAGGCACAUAUCUCACUAAAAAAAAUAAACAAUGCACAUUUCCACGAUUCAACACUCCCAUCCCAAAAUAAAGUUAUUCUCAAGUCAUUUUACUUUCAUAACACAACAUACUUCUGAGUGAAACAAACAGCAUAUUUAUUAAGGAAAAAAGAGGAUAUUUAUGCCAUAAAGACCCUCUGAAUGCAUAGUUGCAUUUCACUGCUUUGCUUGCAUUGUUGUUCUAUUUAAACAUGCUAGGCGGACAUGUUUGACUGUUGCGCUAGCUUCUCAUGCAUCACAGCGUUUUUAAACACGUGGUCACAAACUGUUGUUUGGCGAAUUUUCACGGUCAAAAUGAAGUCAUUACAAUAAGCAUCCUUUAGGGCAAAAUAUUUCCCUUUGCAAAUUUUGCAUGUAAUUUAAGUUGGUCAUGCUAAUUUGCUGUGUUGACCAACAGAAAGCCGCUUGGUUUAAAUGUGAAUUGUAAGUGGUGAUUAAUAUAAAUAAUAUAUAAAUUAUGUGGUGAUGAAAUACUUUGUUAUUUUUAUGUGUAUAUCACCAAGUUUACACUAAAAAAACCAGUCAAUUACAAUGUCCAAAACAAUUGUCCUAGCAACAAGAUCAACACUGCAACAUUAUAGUAUUAAUACUGAAGUCAUCUGAGGCCAUUUUCAUGAUAAUACAUAACUAAGAUGGAAGAUGGCAGCAACUUUGUUUGUUUGAAAGAGAAAGAGCAAGACUAUAGAAGCUUGUUUCUGCCACGGAAUAAAACAAAGAAAUUAAAUAAAAAUGUAAUAGUGUCUUUUUCAGAAUUGAGAAAUAUAACUCAGAAUUGUGAAUUUAUAUUUCGCAAUCAGAAUUGUGAGACAACUCGCAAUUAGAUUUUUAAUUUUGUUAUGCAGUGGAAUACAAAAAAAUUCAAUAAAAAAUUGUGAAAUGUUAAUCCAGAAUUCUGAUAAAAAAAAUCAAAAAUGCAAUAUGUAUCAUUCUUGCAAUUCUAAUAAAAAAAAAAGUCUAGUUAAGAUGUUGAGAAGAAAAGUUAGAAUUGUCAGAUAUAAACUCGCAACUGAGGAAAAAACUCAAAACUGUAAGAUAAAAAGUCACAAUUAUCUUCAAUUUCAAAAAAAAGCUAAAUUUGUGCAAUGUAAACAGAAUUCUGAUUAAAGAAGUGAGAAUUGCAAGAUGUAAACUCAGUUACGAGUUCAGAGUUUGAAAUAGUGAGAUAUAAACUCAAUUGUGAGAAAAAAAGUUGCAAUUAAAUUUUUUUGUCUUUUUUCUUUAUUUUCUUUAAUUUUUUUAAUUUUGUGGCUGAAACAAGCUUCCAUACAAGUCAGUGUGAUAUGAGUAACAUGACAGUAACACCGUUUCAUGCUCCGUUGCAUUGCCAUGAACAACAAUGAAUAUUAGGAAAUGACAGACCACUGGAUGAAGCAACUGAUUGGUCUAAUAUAACAUAUUUAACUGUAUUUUAUGAAAUAACAGAAAUCUUUAAGGUAAUGUCAGACAAACAUUGAGUAUGAAAUCUUCAUAUGGCAAGAUAACUCCCUGAAAAUGCUAUGCUGCAGACAUUUUCUGUGGCCUGUGUACAGUAUCCUGUCUUAUCUCCACCUCUCAAACUGCUCUCACAGGAUUCUGAUGACAGUAAAGCAGUUCUCCUGCAUGAAUUGAAGUGCCUUAAUGCCUGCAAUGGCAUUUUAAAAGCCAUUUCAGGGAGACUGUGAAUUUGCCAUCACAUGGGUUGAGACAUUACGAUGGCAGAUUUGGUCAUAGCUAAAACUGACAUUAAUGCGGAAUGGUGCACAUUAUUUGGAUGUUUGUUUCAGACAUAUAAGGUCUAAGGUAAAUGCUUUUAGAUGUGUUUAUUGAUUUUGCACUCUGAGAACAUUUAAGGCUUUCAAAUCUACUCAGUGCUGUUUUGUCUCCGGGAAGCUUCUUAAACGAGUUUGAGAACAUAAUAAACAGGUGAAAUUUCAUUUUCUCCUCCUUUUUUCAUUUCCAAUAUGGUUUAUCCACCAGCUAUUUUAGUACGUGCCAUUUGAAGAAAAUAGGCAAAUAAACAACAACAAAACACAUUUCAGCUUAAGUAUUCAGAGCUCUAGAGAAGCAGCUCUGAAUUAAACAUGCAAAAUUAUGCAUGAUAAUGUAAUUUUUGAAAUGACAUGUAUGAAAAAAAUGUUAAAUAGGAAAGGAGGGAAAAGCAAUUGUCGCUAUCACAACUCAUAUCUUCACCUCUUCAUCACUGUUGCCUGAAAAAAAGAUUGGAAAUUUGCUUGUAACUAGAAAAGAACAUCCAGUGACAAACUUACCUAAUCUUGCUGUACCUGUACAAUGAAUAUUGAAAUGAAGUUCAGCCCAAAGGCUAUUUUGCUUGGAAAAUUAAAUUAUUACAUGCUGGCCAAUGUACCCUGAAGUACCCUGAAGUUUAGACCGCUCUAGAUCAGUGGCUCUCAACCUUUAUAACUUCAAGGUUUCCCUUAGUCAAAGUCAAUUUUCGAAGGCCCCCUACACAGACUGUGAUUUUUCCUCUUGUAGUUUUGUUGAAAAUAAUGAAAAAAGGAUGUUUUUUUUCAAAGUGCUUUAACCAACAGAAGCUAGGGAUUUCAGCACAUUAAUAUAAUUAAUUAUUAUAUUAUAAGGAAAGUGAAAAAACACAUAAGAAAGCUGUAAUGCAGUGGAAGUUCUCUUUCUUUUUUUGGUUUUACUGUGGACAUUCUUCAUAACAUUAUAUAUAUAGGAUAUAUAAAACUUUUUGAUAAGUCCUUAACAUUUGUUUUUAAUGUUCAUAAAAGAAGUCUCUUAUGCCUGCUAAGGCUCCUAAUUAAUUAAUUUUAAUAUAUUAAAAUGUUAGUUCACCCAAAAAUUUAAAUUAAGCCAUAAAUUACUCACCCUCAAGGCAUCCUAGGUGUAUAUUACUUUCUUAU